This is a long non-coding RNA of Micropterus dolomieu (smallmouth bass), 508 nucleotides long. RefSeq lists it as uncharacterized. The transcript has 3 exons. The record is from RefSeq and is a predicted model, not a curated record. NCBI's taxonomy places the organism in Eukaryota, Metazoa, Chordata, Actinopteri, Centrarchiformes, Centrarchidae.
CGACCCCGCAGGGCCAGGCGACUACGCAGGCGGAGGGUCGCUUCCCACGAUCUGUUUUUGUAUAAACAUAGAAUGAAUAUCUAUCUAUCUAUCUAUCUAUAGGUGGAGCCAGAGGUCCCCGCAUGAAACCAGAAAUUAAUGACAUCCAAGUACAAGUACCGUACAAUUUUGAGGUUUAUGCUCGCAUCUGUUAUUGUCACCCCCUGCAAAGAGACCGAAAAAGACAUUGAUGGAGGAAGCUAAGAAAAGAAAACAGUGACCUAGCAAGAGGCUCCAGGACGUUGGUGUUGUGUGAAAUAAAAGGCAUGCGUUUCUAUCCCUCCAAAGGGAUAGAAAGCAGAAUGAGAAUGAGUUUCUUCAUUUUAAAUAUAUAAAAUUAAGAUGUGGAAAAAGUCUGCCAAACAUUUGCUCAUUAUUUGUGCUAUUAAUUAAUGUCAGAUACCACAUUGUAGCUGCCUCUGGUUAACAGAUACACAACACAGAUCAAAAGAUAUCUGAAAAUGCUGAA